This 492-nucleotide ribosomal RNA is filed under the name uncultured bacterium. Its description in RNAcentral is "partial 16S ribosomal RNA". It matches the Rfam family "Bacterial small subunit ribosomal RNA", at positions 29 to 507 of the family's 1533-position model. The record is from RNAcentral.
AGUGAACGCUGGCGGUAGGCCUAACACAUGCAAGUCGAACGGCAGCACAGUAAGAGCUUGCUCUUACGGGUGGCGAGUGGCGGACGGGUGAGGAAUACAUCGGAAUCUACUUUUUCGUGGGGGAUAACGUAGGGAAACUUACGCUAAUACCGCAUACGACCUACGGGUGAAAGCAGGGGAUCUUCGGACCUUGCGCGAUUGAAUGAGCCGAUGUCGGAUUAGCUAGUUGGCGGGGUAAAGGCCCACCAAGGCGACGAUCCGUAGCUGGUCUGAGAGGAUGAUCAGCCACACUGGAACUGAGACACGGUCCAGACUCCUAAGGGAGGCAGCAGUGGGGAAUAUUGGACAAUGGGCGCAAGCCUGAUCCAGCCAUACCGCGUGGGUGAAGAAGGCCUUCGGGUUGUAAAGCCCUUUUGUUGGGAAAGAAAAGCAGCAGGUUAAUACCCCGCUGUUCUGACGGUACACAAAGAAUAAGCACCGGCUAACUUCGUG